CGAGCCGGCCGGGCGAUCGCGGCACCGAGUUAUCGGGGUCGAGGAAGGUCCGGGCUCCACAGGGCAGCGUGGUGGGUAACGCCCACCCGGGGAAACCCGCGGGACAGUGCCACAGAAAACAGACCGCCAUCUGGUUUCGGCCAGGUGGCAAGGGUGAAACGGUGGUGUAAGAGACCACCAGCGCCCGAGGUGACUCGGGCGGCUCGGCAAACCCCACGCGGAGCUAGAUCAAGAGGUUUGAGUGUUCGCACUUGAACUGUGCAGGCACUUGAGGGCGACCCGCCCGAGCUUGCAGGUAGAUCGCACGAGCGCAUCGGCAACGAUGCGCCCAGAUGGAUGAUCGCCGAACGGGAUCACCGCAAGGUGCCCGGGAACAGAACCCGGCCUACAGGCCGACUCGUCCG
This 404-nucleotide RNase P RNA is filed under the name Actinomycetota bacterium. RNAcentral's name for it is "Actinobacteria bacterium (aquatic metagenome) RNase P RNA component class A". It matches the Rfam family "Bacterial RNase P class A". From Rfam's summary of the family: Ribonuclease P (RNase P) is a ubiquitous endoribonuclease, found in archaea, bacteria and eukarya as well as chloroplasts and mitochondria. Its best characterised activity is the generation of mature 5'-ends of tRNAs by cleaving the 5'-leader elements of precursor-tRNAs. The record is from RNAcentral. Lineage: Bacteria; Bacillati; Actinomycetota.